ACUCAAAUGAAUUGACGGGGGCCCGCACAAGCAGCGGAGCGUGUGGUUUAAUUCGAUGCAACGCGAAGAACCUUACCCGGGCUUGACAUGCGCGUGGUACCCGAGGGAAACCGAGGGGACCCGCGAGGGAGCGCGCACAGGUGCUGCACGGCUGUCGUCAGCUCGUGCCGUGAGGUGUUGGGUUAAGUCCCGCAACGAGCGCAACCCCCGCCGCCAGUUACCACGUCUGGCGGGACCGCCGGGACCAACCCGGAGGAAGGUGGGGACGACGUCAAGUCAGCGUGGCCCUUACGUCCGGGGCGACACACACGCUACAAUGGCCGGGACAAUGGGCUGCGAAGGGGCGACCCGGAGCCAAUCCCAGCAAACCCGGCCCCAGUUCGGAUCGGGGGCUGCAACCCGCCCCCGUGAAGUCGGAGUUGCUAGUAACCGCCGGUCAGCACACGGCGGUGAAUGCGUUCCCGGGCCUUGUACACACCGCCCGU
RNAcentral lists this ribosomal RNA (485 nucleotides) under uncultured bacterium. RNAcentral describes it as "partial 16S ribosomal RNA". It matches the Rfam family "Bacterial small subunit ribosomal RNA", at positions 899 to 1397 of the family's 1533-position model. The record is from RNAcentral.